RNAcentral lists this long non-coding RNA (570 nucleotides) under Triticum aestivum (bread wheat). RNAcentral's name for it is "long non-coding RNA (TAES_LNC007812)". Lineage: Eukaryota; Viridiplantae; Streptophyta; Magnoliopsida; Poales; Poaceae. The record is from RNAcentral.
AUUUUGGAUCCUUUUCGCACAUCAGGCGAGCACGAAUCUCAGGGCGACGCACCCCAUAUGGGGGGCUUAAACAUAUGUAGUAUGUCAGACAAAACUUUUGAAUUGCAUCGACAGAUUGAGAACGUGGAAGCAACAGGCAGAUAGCAAAAGAGAAAAACACUGGAGAGAGAGAGGAGGCAGACAUGGCACAAGGAUGGAUGGGGGGUCUAAGCCGGUACUGGGCGUGCUAUCGUGUCUCUUACGCAGCAAUCUUGUCGUAGUCCACCAUCAAAUACACCUUCAUUAGAACCUCCGCGGUGGCCGCUCCUCCGCGACGUUCACCCGCAGAGCACGCCCCUCCAAGCUCUGCAGAAUUCAGAUAGUAAUGUGAGACUCGACACGGCAUUCGUUAUCCCGCUAGAACGAGGUUCGAUUCAUGCAGUUAUCACGGUAUGUAAAAAUGGUAGGGCAAUCAGAUGAUUGCUAACUAACCUGUCCAUCGAGGGCAGCGAUGGCAUCAUCAAGUUCCGGCUGCGAUGCCAUUGUCACGAAACCAAAUCCCCGUGAGCGCCCAGUGUCUCUGUCGUAGAC